CAGGUGCUGCAUGGCCUCGUCAGCUCGUGCCGUGAGGUGUUGGGUUAAGUCCCGCAACGAGCGCAACCCCGCCGUUAGUUGCCAGCGGUUCGGCCGGGCACUCUAACGGGACUGCCCGCGAAAGCGGGAGGAAGGAGGGGACGACGUCUGGUCAGCAUGGCCCUUACGGCCUGGGCGACACACGUGCUACAAUGCCCACUACAAAGCGAGGCCACCCGGCAACGGGGAGCUAAUCGCAAAAAGGUGGGCCCAGUUCGGAUUGGGGUCUGCAACCCGACCCCAUGAAGCCGGAAUCGCUAGUAAUCGCGGAUCAGCCAUGCCGCGGUGAAUACGUCCCCGGGCCUU
Molecule: ribosomal RNA, 345 nt
Filed under: uncultured Thermus sp.
Lineage: Bacteria; Thermotogati; Deinococcota; Deinococci; Thermales; Thermaceae
Description: bacterial SSU rRNA
Rfam family: Bacterial small subunit ribosomal RNA
Source: RNAcentral